CCUACGGGAGGCAGCAGUAGGGAAUUUUCGUCAAUGGGCGCAAGCCUGAACGAGCGAUGCCGCGUGAGUGAAGAAGGCCUUCGGGUCGUAAAGCUCUGUUGCGGGGGAAAAAAGGCAGCAUCAGGAAAUGGGUGCUGACUGAUGGUGCCCCGCCAGAAAGUCACGGCUAACUACGUGCCAGCAGCCGCGGUAAUACGUAGGUGGCGAGCGUUAUCCGGAAUGGUUGGGCGUAAAGAGUGCGCAGGCGGUCCUGCAAGUCUGGAGUGAAACGCAUGAGCUCAACUCAUGCAUGGCUUGGGAAACUGGAGGACUGGAUAGCAGGAGAGGGCGGUGGAACUCCAUGUGUAGCGGGAGAAUGCGUAGUUAGAUGGAAGAACACCAGUGGCGAAGGCGGCCGCCUGGCCUGUUGCUGACGCUGAGGCACGAAAGCGUGGGGAGCAAAUAGGAUUAGAUACCCCUGUAGUC
This 465-nucleotide ribosomal RNA is filed under the name uncultured bacterium. Its description in RNAcentral is "partial 16S ribosomal RNA". It matches the Rfam family "Bacterial small subunit ribosomal RNA", at positions 338 to 795 of the family's 1533-position model. The record is from RNAcentral.